GAUGAACGCUGGCGGCGUGCCUAAUACAUGCAAGUCGAGCGAACAGACGAGGAGCUUGCUCCUCUGACGUUAGCGGCGGACGGGUGAGUAACACGUGGAUAACCUACCUAUAAGACUGGGAUAACUUCGGGAAACCGGAGCUAAUACCGGAUAAUAUAUUGAACCGCAUGGUUCAAUAGUGAAAGACGGUUUUGCUGUCACUUAUAGAUGGAUCCGCGCCGCAUUAGCUAGUUGGUAAGGUAACGGCUUACCAAGGCAACGAUGCGUAGCCGACCUGAGAGGGUGAUCGGCCACACUGGAACUGAGACACGGUCCAGACUCCUACGGGAGGCAGCAGUAGGGAAUCUUCCGCAAUGGGCGAAAGCCUGACGGAGCAACGCCGCGGGAGUGAUGAAGGUCUUCGGAUCGUAAAACUCUGUUAUUAGGGAAGAACAAAUGUGUAAGUAACUAGGCACGUCUUGACGGUACCUAAUCAGAAAGCCACGGCUAACUACGUGC
Molecule: ribosomal RNA, 498 nt
Filed under: uncultured bacterium
Lineage: Bacteria
Description: partial 16S ribosomal RNA
Rfam family: Bacterial small subunit ribosomal RNA
Source: RNAcentral